RNAcentral lists this unclassified non-coding RNA (329 nucleotides) under soil metagenome. Its description in RNAcentral is "partial contains 5.8S ribosomal RNA, internal transcribed spacer 2, and large subunit ribosomal RNA". The stretch from base 1 to 120 matches the Rfam family "5.8S ribosomal RNA", at positions 35 to 154 of the family's 154-position model. The record is from RNAcentral.
GAUGAAGAACGUAGCGAAAUGCGAUACGUAAUGUGAAUUGCAGAAUUCAGUGAAUCAUCGAAUCUUUGAACGCACAUUGCGCCCCCUGGCAUUCCGGGGGGCAUGCCUGUUCGAGCGUCAUUACAACCCUCAAGCUCUGCUUGGUAUUGGGCUCUGCUGGGACCGGCAGGCCUUAAAAUCAGUGGCGGCGCCACUCGGCUUCAAGCGUAGUAAUUCUUCUCGCUUCGGAGACCCGGGUGCGUGCUAGCCAGCAACCCCCAACUUUCUUAGGUUGACCUCGGAUCAGGUAGGGAUACCCGCUGAACUUAAGCAUAUCAAUAAGCGGAGGA